This 379-nucleotide unclassified non-coding RNA is filed under the name uncultured Actinomycetes bacterium. Its description in RNAcentral is "uncultured actinobacterium contains 16S-23S intergenic spacer region". Lineage: Bacteria; Bacillati; Actinomycetota; Actinomycetes. The record is from RNAcentral.
UCCGGUUUGUCACCGGCAGUCUCCCUAGAGUUCCCGCCAUUACGCGCUGGCAACUAGGGACAAGGGUUGCGCUCGUUGCGGGACUUAACCCAACAUCUCACGACACGAGCUGACGGCAGCCUUGCACCACCUGUGAUCCUGCCCGUGAGGGAAGCCGUGUUUCCACGGCGGUCAGGAACAUGUCAAACCCAGGUAAGGUUCUUCGCGUUGCCUCGAAUUAAGCAACAUGCUCCGCCGCUUGUGCGGGCCCCCGUCAAUUCCUUUGAGUUUUAGCCUUGCGGCCGUACUCCCCAGGCGGGGCACUUAAUGCGUUAGCUACGGCACGGAGCCCGUCGAUCGAGCCCCACACCUAGUGCCCAACGUUUACGGCGUGGACUAC